GCCCUUGUAGCUCAACGGUAGAGCGCGCGGCUCAUAAUCGCUCGGUUGCAGGUUCGAGUCCUGCCGAGGGCA
This 72-nucleotide transfer RNA is filed under the name Acidobacteriota bacterium. Its description in RNAcentral is "tRNA-Ile". It matches the Rfam family "tRNA". Rfam says of the family: Transfer RNA (tRNA) molecules are approximately 80 nucleotides in length. Their secondary structure includes four short double-helical elements and three loops (D, anti-codon, and T loops). Lineage: Bacteria; Pseudomonadati; Acidobacteriota. RNAcentral also lists the same sequence under 1 other name. The record is from RNAcentral.